AGAGUUUGAUUCUGGCUCAGGAUGAACGCUAGCUACAGGCUUAACACAUGCAAGUCGAGGGGCAGCAUGGGAUUAGCUUGCUAAUCCUGAUGGCGACCGGCGCACGGGUGAGUAACGCGUAUCCAACCUUCCCCUUACUCAGGGAUAGCCCGGUGAAAACCGGAUUAACACCUGAUAGUUUCACUAGAUGGCAUCUGACGGUGAAUAAAGGCUUACGGUAAGGGAUGGGGAUGCGUCUGAUUAGCUUGUUGGCGGGGUAACGGCCCACCAAGGCAACGAUCAGUAGGGGUUCUGAGAGGAAGGUCCCCCACAUUGGAACUGAGACACGGUCCAAACUCCUACGGGAGGCAGCAGUGAGGAAUAUUGGUCAAUGGGCGAGAGCCUGAACCAGCCAAGUAAGCGUGCAGGAUGACGGCCCUAUGGGUUGUAAACUGCUUUUGUACGGGAAUAAAGUGACCUACGUGUAGGUUUUUGCAUGUACCGUAAGAAUAAGGACCGGCUAAUUCCGUGCCAGCCGCAGC
RNAcentral lists this ribosomal RNA (521 nucleotides) under uncultured bacterium. RNAcentral describes it as "bacterial SSU rRNA". It matches the Rfam family "Bacterial small subunit ribosomal RNA", at positions 8 to 518 of the family's 1533-position model. The record is from RNAcentral.